RNAcentral lists this unclassified non-coding RNA (281 nucleotides) under Rhizobium sp. NFR07. RNAcentral describes it as "Long range pseudoknot". The record is from RNAcentral. Lineage: Bacteria; Pseudomonadati; Pseudomonadota; Alphaproteobacteria; Hyphomicrobiales; Rhizobiaceae.
ACGUGAAGAUGAAGGCCAUGAACCGGUUCUUCGAAGAAGGCGACAAGGUCAAGGUGACCCUCAAGUUCCGCGGCCGCGAAAUGGCCCACCAGGAACUCGGCAUGAAGCUUCUGCUUCAGGUCAAGGAAGACACGCUUGAGAUCGCCAAGGUUGAGGCCGAGCCGAAGCUUGAAGGCCGUCAGAUGAUGAUGGUUCUGGCGCCGCGUUAAGCGCCAGACCUUCCGCCUGUUCAUGGGCGGCUUCGCCGGUUCGACGCCGGUUUCCGAUCAGGAUUUCCCCCA